UACGGAGGAUGCGAGCGUUAUCCGGAUUUAUUGGGUUUAAAGGGUGCGUAGGCGGACUGUUAAGUCAGCGGUAAAAGCCCGGGGCUCAACCCCGGCGAGCCGUUGAAACUGGCUGUCUUGAGAUGUCGAGAGGUAUGCGGAAUGCGCAGUGUAGCGGUGAAAUGCUUAGAUAUUGCGCAGAACUCCGAUUGCGAAGGCAUCUCACGAAUCCGCGAUUGACGCUGAUGCACGAAAGCGUGGGUAUCAAACAGG
RNAcentral lists this ribosomal RNA (252 nucleotides) under uncultured Bacteroidales bacterium. RNAcentral describes it as "partial 16S ribosomal RNA". It matches the Rfam family "Bacterial small subunit ribosomal RNA", at positions 524 to 776 of the family's 1533-position model. Lineage: Bacteria; Pseudomonadati; Bacteroidota; Bacteroidia; Bacteroidales. The record is from RNAcentral.